UACGUAGGGGGCAAGCGUUGUCCGGAAUCAUUGGGCGUAAAGCGCGUGUAGGCGGCCCGGUAAGUCCGCUGUGAAAGUCCAGGGCUCAACCCUGGAAUGCCGGUGGAUACUGUCGGGCUCGAGUCCGGAAGAGGCGAGUGGAAUUCCCGGUGUAGAGGUGAAAUUCGUAGAUAUCGGGAGGAACACCAGUGGCGAAGGCGGCGACCUGGACGGACAUUGACGCUGAGACGCGAAAGCGUGGGAGC
This 245-nucleotide ribosomal RNA is filed under the name uncultured bacterium. RNAcentral describes it as "partial 16S ribosomal RNA". It matches the Rfam family "Bacterial small subunit ribosomal RNA", at positions 524 to 769 of the family's 1533-position model. The record is from RNAcentral.